UACGUAGGGGCCGAGCGUUGUCCGGAGUUACUGGGCGUAAAGCGCGCGCAGGCGGCGCGGUAAGCAUGGCGUGAAAGCCCCCGGCUCAACCGGGGAGGGUCGCCGUGGACUGCCGUGCUUGAGGGCGGCAGGGGUCGGUGGAAUGCCCGGUGUAGUGGUGAAAUGCGUAGAGAUCGGGCGGAACACCCGUGGCGAAGGCGGCCGACUGGGCCGGCCCUGACGCUGAGGCGCGAAGGCGUGGGGAGCGAACGGGAUUAGAUACCCCGGUAGUCCACGCAGUAAACGAUGCAGACUAGGCGUGGGGGGACUUGACCCCCUCCGUGCCGGAGCUAACGCGGUAAGUCUGCCGCCUGGGGAGUACGGCCGCAAGGCUAAA
Molecule: ribosomal RNA, 376 nt
Filed under: uncultured bacterium
Lineage: Bacteria
Description: bacterial SSU rRNA
Rfam family: Bacterial small subunit ribosomal RNA
Source: RNAcentral